UAUAAGAGACAAAUUUAACAUAUUUUUCUCUUAACUUUUGUCUCUAAUUCAAUAUUUUGUCUAUAAAAACCUUUUUUUAAUUUAGAAAUAAUAUAAUAAUAGCUAUUUUCAAUCUAAUUACUGGAAUAUCAUAAUAUCCAAAUUGAGAUUCAGAUUAGAAAAACAAAUUAUGAUGAGAUCCUACAAAGCACAGCAUGGCAUAUAGUUGCUAACAUGGAAGUUAUCAUUCUUUCUUCUUUCCUUGUAUAGCUAGAUCUAAAUCUCAUGCAUGAAAACCUAAGAUCAAGCAAAAAAAUCACAACCAAAUAACACACAACAUUAUUCAUCAAUGAUUAAUUAGGAUGUUCAUAAAAACAUUACAAUUAUUGUAAAAGGAAAACAUAAAGAAGGUCUUUGCAGCAUUUGGAUCCGACAUUGUUUUUUGUCGGACCCGCAUGCACAUUUUCUUCUCUCUCCCUCGUAUUGUUGUUCAGAAGAGGGAGAGAUAGAGACCAUAUGCUACCAACUGAAUUUGAAACUUUCAUUUUCUUUGCCAAAUUCCUAACACUUUUCAGGUAUGUUAC
This 563-nucleotide long non-coding RNA is filed under the name Medicago truncatula (barrel medic). RNAcentral describes it as "long non-coding RNA (MTRU_LNC004692)". Lineage: Eukaryota; Viridiplantae; Streptophyta; Magnoliopsida; Fabales; Fabaceae. The record is from RNAcentral.